GGUCUAAUAGUGUAGAGGUUAGCACAUGGGAUUUUGAUCUUGGGCUCCCUUUCGUAUUCCCAUAACCCAGGUUCGAGUCCUGGUUAGACCU
This 91-nucleotide transfer RNA is filed under the name Lentinula raphanica. RNAcentral describes it as "tRNA-Gln". It matches the Rfam family "tRNA". From Rfam's summary of the family: Transfer RNA (tRNA) molecules are approximately 80 nucleotides in length. Their secondary structure includes four short double-helical elements and three loops (D, anti-codon, and T loops). Further hydrogen bonds mediate the characteristic L-shaped molecular structure. tRNAs have two regions of fundamental functional importance: the anti-codon, which is responsible for specific mRNA codon recognition, and the 3' end, to which the tRNAs corresponding amino acid is attached (by aminoacyl-tRNA synthetases). tRNAs cope with the degeneracy of the genetic code in two manners: having more than one tRNA (with a specific anti-codon) for a particular amino acid; and 'wobble' base-pairing, i.e. permitting non-standard base-pairing at the 3rd anti-codon position. Lineage: Eukaryota; Fungi; Basidiomycota; Agaricomycetes; Agaricales; Omphalotaceae. The record is from RNAcentral.